Molecule: long non-coding RNA, 175 nt
Organism: Terrapene triunguis (Three-toed box turtle)
Lineage: Eukaryota; Metazoa; Chordata; Testudines; Emydidae
Exons: 3
Source: RefSeq, a predicted model, not a curated record
CUGAACUUGAUGAGAGCUGGAAGUUACCUGAGAGCUCCGGGUGCUUGUUCUUUGAGGAGGUGUUCUGAAUCGACGUGCGAGAGCCAGGUAGCUGCUGCAGAAUGUCUUCCAUCUUAAAGAUGUUCGGAAGAGAAGACAAGAAGGAUCAGGGCAAAGAGAAGGAGAAAGACAAGAA